AAGGGAGACCUAAUUCCGGUAGGAGACGAAAAAAAAGUAGUCCCAACCAAGAAUCAAUCCCAAAAGGUCGGAACGAGGUAUGAGGCUUUCAAACUAGGUUCUGGGUUCAUAAAAGACCUGAAUCAGGAACAAGGGCUAUUAGCUCAGGUGGUUAGAGCGCACCCCUGAUAAGGGUGAGGUCCCUGGUUCGAGCCCAGGAUGGCCCACCUGCACAGGUGGCAAAAACAAGAGAAGCUCCGAAUCAGCACCUUAUCUUAUAUACAUAUAUAAGAGAGAAUGCUGGCUCUGAGUAAAGAGUCCAGAGGAACCUUGAAAACUGCAUAGAGCUAGGUGAAAAAGCCAAAAAAGAAGACCGCAA
Molecule: transfer RNA, 358 nt
Filed under: uncultured Microcystis sp.
Lineage: Bacteria; Bacillati; Cyanobacteriota; Cyanophyceae; Chroococcales; Microcystaceae
Description: partial 16S-23S ribosomal RNA intergenic spacer
Rfam family: tRNA (bases 133-206)
Source: RNAcentral